RNAcentral lists this ribosomal RNA (465 nucleotides) under Vreelandella stevensii. Its description in RNAcentral is "partial 16S ribosomal RNA". It matches the Rfam family "Bacterial small subunit ribosomal RNA", at positions 338 to 795 of the family's 1533-position model. Lineage: Bacteria; Pseudomonadati; Pseudomonadota; Gammaproteobacteria; Oceanospirillales; Halomonadaceae. The record is from RNAcentral.
CCUACGGGUGGCAGCAGUGGGGAAUAUUGGACAAUGGGCGAAAGCCUGAUCCAGCCAUGCCGCGUGUGUGAAGAAGGCCUUCGGGUUGUAAAGCACUUUCAGUGGGGAAGAAAGCCUUGGGGCUAAUACCCUCGAGGAAGGACAUCACCCACAGAAGAAGCACCGGCUAACUCCGUGCCAGCAGCCGCGGUAAUACGGAGGGUGCGAGCGUUAAUCGGAAUUACUGGGCGUAAAGCGCGCGUAGGCGGUCUGAUAAGCCGGUUGUGAAAGCCCCGGGCUCAACCUGGGAACGGCACCCGGAACUGUCAGGCUAGAGUGCAGGAGAGGAAGGUAGAAUUCCCGGUGUAGCGGUGAAAUGCGUAGAGAUCGGGAGGAAUACCAGUGGCGAAGGCGGCCUUCUGGACUGACACUGACGCUGAGGUGCGAAAGCGUGGGUAGCAAACAGGAUUAGAUACCCGUGUAGUC